AUUGAACGCUGGCGGCAUGCCUUACACAUGCAAGUCGAACGGCAGCACGGGAGCAAUCCUGGUGGCGAGUGGCGAACGGGUGAGUAAAGUAUCGGAACGUGCCCAGUCGUGGGGGAUAACGUAGCGAAAGUUACGCUAAUACCGCAUACGAUCUAUGGAUGAAAGCGGGGGAUCGCAAGACCUCGCGCGAUUGGAGCGGCCGAUAUCAGAUUAGGUAGUUGGUGGGGUAAUGGCUCACCAAGCCGACGAUCUUUAGCGGGUCUGAGAGGACGAGCAGCCACACUGGGACUGAGACACGGCCCAGACUCCUACGGGAGGCAGCAGUGGGGAAUUUUGGACAAUGGGCGCAAGCCUGAUCCAGCCAUGCCGCGUGCAGGAUGAAGGCCUUCGGGUUGUAAACUGCUUUUGUACGGAACGAAAAGGUUUGACUUAAUACGUUGGACUCAUGACGGUACCGUAAGAAUAAGCACCGGCUAACUACGUGCCAGCCGCCGCAGUAA
Molecule: ribosomal RNA, 500 nt
Filed under: uncultured bacterium
Lineage: Bacteria
Description: partial 16S ribosomal RNA
Rfam family: Bacterial small subunit ribosomal RNA
Source: RNAcentral